This 676-nucleotide ribosomal RNA is filed under the name Panus similis. RNAcentral's name for it is "LSU rRNA". It matches the Rfam family "Eukaryotic large subunit ribosomal RNA", at positions 71 to 731 of the family's 3401-position model. Lineage: Eukaryota; Fungi; Basidiomycota; Agaricomycetes; Polyporales; Panaceae. The record is from RNAcentral.
GGAUUUCCCCUAGUAACUGCGAGUGAAGCGGGAAAAGCUCAAAUUUAAAAUCUGGCAGUCUUUGACUGUCCGAAUUGUAUUCUGGAGAAGCGUUUUCCGCGCUGGACCGUGUACAAGUCUCUUGGAAUAGAGCGUCAUAGAGGGUGAGAAUCCCGUCUUUGACACGGACUACCAGUGCUUUGUGAUGCGCUCUCAAAGAGUCGAGUUGUUUGGGAAUGCAGCUCAAAAUGGGUGGUGAAUUCCAUCUAAAGCUAAAUAUUGGCGAGAGACCGAUAGCGAACAAGUACCGUGAGGGAAAGAUGAAAAGCACUUUGGAAAGAGAGUUAAACAGUACGUGAAAUUGCUGAAAGGGAAACGCUUGAAGUCAGUCGCGUCAUUCGGAACUCAGCCAGGCUUCUGCCUGGUGUACUUUCUGGUUGACGGGCCAGCAUCAGUUUUGACCGCUGGAAAAAGGCCAUGGGAAUGUGGCACCUUCGGGUGUGUUAUAGCCUGUGGUCAUAUACAGCGGUUGGGACUGAGGACCGCAGCACGCCUUUAUGGUUGGGGUUCGCCCACAAUCGUGCUUAGGAUGCUGGCGUAAUGGCUUCAAACGACCCGUCUUGAAACACGGACCAAGGAGUCUAACAUGCCUGCGAGUGUUUGGGUGGAAAACCCGAGCGCACAAUGAAAGUGAAAG